AAAAUGGGAAAUGCCACGUAAAUGUCAUUUUGUGUGAAUUAUUAUUUUUUUAUCGGUGGAAUUGAAUGAUUUAUUGUAUAUUGUAAACAUAAGAUCCUGACAUUGAAAUAAUAAAAGAGAGAGGAGAAAGAUACUGAAGGAAAUUCAAAAUAAUGAGGCGAAAAUAACUCGACAACUCUGGAUCUCCAAAUGGAAAAAGAAAAGACAAAA
RNAcentral lists this long non-coding RNA (210 nucleotides) under Mytilus galloprovincialis (Mediterranean mussel). Lineage: Eukaryota; Metazoa; Mollusca; Bivalvia; Mytilida; Mytilidae. The record is from RNAcentral.